RNAcentral lists this ribosomal RNA (433 nucleotides) under uncultured bacterium. RNAcentral describes it as "partial 16S ribosomal RNA". It matches the Rfam family "Bacterial small subunit ribosomal RNA", at positions 29 to 507 of the family's 1533-position model. The record is from RNAcentral.
AGCGAACGCUGGCGGCAGGCCUAACACAUGCAAGUCGAACGAACUCUUCGGAGUUAGUGGCGGACGGGUGAGUAACACGUGGGAACGUGCCUUUAGGUUCGGAAUAACUCAGGGAAACUUGUGCUAAUACCGAAUGCGCCCUUCGGGGGAAAGAUUUAUCGCCUUUAGAGCGGCCCGCGUCUGAUUAGCUAGUUGGUGAGGUAAAGGCUCACCAAGGCGACGAUCAGUAGCUGGUCUGAGAGGAUGAUCAGCCACAUUGGGACUGAGACACGGCCCAAACUCCUACGGGAGGCAGCAGUGGGGAAUCUUGCGCAAUGGGCGAAAGCCUGACGCAGCCAUGCCGCGUGAAUGAUGAAGGUCUUAGGAUUGUAAAAUUCUUUCACCGGGGACGAUAAUGACGGUACCCGGAGAAGAAGCCCCGGCUAACUUCGUG